RNAcentral lists this small nuclear RNA (122 nucleotides) under Zea mays. RNAcentral's name for it is "U2 spliceosomal RNA". It matches the Rfam family "U2 spliceosomal RNA". Rfam says of the family: U2 is a small nuclear RNA (snRNA) component of the spliceosome (involved in pre-mRNA splicing). Lineage: Eukaryota; Viridiplantae; Streptophyta; Magnoliopsida; Poales; Poaceae. The record is from Rfam by way of RNAcentral.
UUACAUUUUCUGACCUUUUGGGUAAAAUAAGAUAUAAGAUCUGUUCUUAUCAGUUUAAUAUCUGAUAUGUGGACCAUAUAUUCACUUUGAUAUUAAAUUUAUUUUUUAUUUUGGUAACAUAU